ACUCAAAUGAAUUGACGGGGGCCCGCACAAGCGGUGGAGCAUGUUGUUUAAUACGUCACUAACCGUAGAACCUUACCAGGUCUUGACAUCCUAGGAAUCUCGGGGAAACUCGGGAGUGCCCGCAAGGGAGCCUAGAGACAGGUGUUGCAUGGCUGUCGUCAGCUCGUGUCGUGAGAUGUUGGGUUAAGUCCCGCAACGAGCGCAACCCUCAUCCAGUGUUGCUACCAGGUUAAGCUGGGCACUCUCUGGAAACUGCCCGUGCAAGCGGGAGGAAGGUGGGGAUGACGUCAAGUCAGCAUGGCCCUUACGACCUGGGCUACAAACAUGCUACAAUGGCGCGUACAGAGGGCUGCGAACCCGCGAGGGUAAGCCAAUCCCAAAAAGCGCGUCUCAGUUCGGAUCGGAGUCUGCAACUCGACUCCGUGAAGUCGGAAUCGCUAGUAACCGCAGGUCAGCUAUACUGCGGUGAAUACGUUCCCGGGCCUUGUACACACCGCCCGU
Molecule: ribosomal RNA, 501 nt
Filed under: uncultured bacterium
Lineage: Bacteria
Description: partial 16S ribosomal RNA
Rfam family: Bacterial small subunit ribosomal RNA
Source: RNAcentral